AAUAGAUACCCGGGUAGUCCACGCCGUAAACGAUGUCGACUUGGAGGUUGUUCCCUUGAGGAGUGGCUUCCGGAGCUAACGCGUUAAGUCGACCGCCUGGGGAGUACGGCCGCAAGGUUAAAACUCAAAUGAAUUGACGGGGGCCCGCACAAGCGGUGGAGCAUGUGGUUUAAUUCGAUGCAACGCGAAGAACCUUACCUGGUCUUGACAUCCACAGAAUUCUGCAGAGAUGCGGAAGUGCCUUCGGGAACUGUGAGACAGGUGCUGCAUGGCUGUCGUCAGCUCGUGUUGUGAAAUGUUGGGUUAAGUCCCGCAACGAGCGCAACCCUUAUCCUUUGUUGCCAGCGGUUAGGCCGGGAACUCAAAGGAGACUGCCAGUGAUAAACUGGAGGAAGGUGGGGAUGACGUCAAGUCAUCAUGGCCCUUAGACCAGGGCUACACACGUGCUACAAUGGCAUAUACAAAGAGAAGCGACCUCGCGAGAGCAAGCGGACCUCAUAAAGUAUGUCGUAGUCCGGAUCGGAGU
This 526-nucleotide ribosomal RNA is filed under the name uncultured bacterium. Its description in RNAcentral is "bacterial SSU rRNA". It matches the Rfam family "Bacterial small subunit ribosomal RNA", at positions 777 to 1304 of the family's 1533-position model. The record is from RNAcentral.